UUAAAUUGAAGAGUUUGAUCAUGGCUCAGAUUGAACGCUGGCGGCAGGCCUAACACAUGCAAGUCGAACGGUAACAGGAAGCAGCUUGCUGUUUCGCU
RNAcentral lists this ribosomal RNA (98 nucleotides) under Shigella flexneri. RNAcentral's name for it is "partial 16S ribosomal RNA". It matches the Rfam family "Bacterial small subunit ribosomal RNA", at positions 1 to 92 of the family's 1533-position model. RNAcentral also lists the same sequence under 1 other name. Lineage: Bacteria; Pseudomonadati; Pseudomonadota; Gammaproteobacteria; Enterobacterales; Enterobacteriaceae. The record is from RNAcentral.